RNAcentral lists this ribosomal RNA (300 nucleotides) under uncultured bacterium. RNAcentral's name for it is "bacterial SSU rRNA". It matches the Rfam family "Bacterial small subunit ribosomal RNA", at positions 335 to 625 of the family's 1533-position model. The record is from RNAcentral.
ACUCCUACGGGAGGCAGCAGUGGGGAAUAUUGCACAAUGGGCGCAAGCCUGAUGCAGCCAUGCCGCGUGUAUGAAGAAGGCCUUCGGGUUGUAAAGUACUUUCAGUCAGUGAGGAGGUGGUAUGUUAAUAGCGAUAUUCAUUUGACGUUAGCAUGACAGAAGAAGCAACCGGCUAACUCCGUGCCAGCAGCCGCGGUAAUACGGAGGGUGCGAGCGUUAAUCGGAAUUACUGGGCGUAAAGCGCAUGCAGGUGGUUUGUUAAGUCAGAUGUGAAAGCCCGGGGCUCAACCUCGGAAUGCA